CUGAGUUCUGGCCAAUGGGAUGCAGGCAGAAUGACAAGCCCAUUUAGACCUUAUUCCUGGAGCUCCCCAGUGAUUUUUGGCACUGUCUCUGUAUUCACACCAUCGGAACAGAACAUUCCAGGAUGCCAGGGUUAGGGAAGUAAGCUAGAACCAUGAGUCAUCACUUAAGGACACUCACUUAGGAAAAGCACUUGAUUGCCUUCAAACUAUGAUGUGAGCAAGAAAUAAAUUUACAUAUGCUAAGCAACCACAAUUUGAGAGUUGUUGCAACAGCCAGUGUUAAUUAUCCUUCUAAAGCAAGUCACCUCUUACAGCCACAGUUUUGUCAACUAAAAAUAAAGAUAAUGCGUGAAUAUUCAAUGAAACAAUGUAUGUGAAAACAUUUGGCACAGACUUGGGGCUCAAUAAAUGCUGGUUAAAAAGCAGUUGUUUCUCACAUAAGCAAUAUUUUCAUUCUACAAAAGAAUUUUUAUUGUUAUUACACAGAUUUCUAUCACAGGAAAAAGACGACCCAACUCCAACUGGCAAGCCAAAUGGGGAUUUUAUUGGCUCCCAGAGCUAGAAAUUUCAAGUGUAGAUUAAGCCUUAGUGCUGAUUUAAUCUAUCCAACAACUCCAAGAACCUGUGUUCUUUCUUCUGCCUGGCUCACUCAAGACCUGGCUCAUCUGUCAUCUCCUCCAAGUUUUCCCACCCCUUCCAUACACACAAAAAAAGGUACUUUGUUACUCUUUCUCUCUUUUUUUGAUCUUGAGAAAAACAUUUGGCCAGUAGGAGGCAUGACCGGAGAUAGGAUGGGAGGAAGGGAGACACCAGGC
Molecule: long non-coding RNA, 815 nt
Filed under: Bos indicus x Bos taurus (hybrid cattle)
Lineage: Eukaryota; Metazoa; Chordata; Mammalia; Artiodactyla; Bovidae
Description: lncRNA (ENSBIXG00005018582.1)
Source: RNAcentral